UACGUAGGGAGCAAGCGUUAUCCGGAUUUAUUGGGUGUAAAGGGUGCGUAGACGGGUAUACAAGUUAGUAGUGAAAUCCCUCGGCUUAACUGAGGAACUGCUACUAAAACUAUAUAUCUUGAGUGCUGGAGGGGAAAGUGGAAUUUCUAGUGUAGCGGUGAAAUGCGUAGAUAUUAGGAAGAACACCGGUGGCGAAGGCGACUUUCUGGACAGUAACUGACGUUGAGGCACGAAAGUGUGGGGAGCAAACAGG
RNAcentral lists this ribosomal RNA (253 nucleotides) under uncultured bacterium. RNAcentral describes it as "partial 16S ribosomal RNA". It matches the Rfam family "Bacterial small subunit ribosomal RNA", at positions 524 to 776 of the family's 1533-position model. The record is from RNAcentral.